RNAcentral lists this ribosomal RNA (253 nucleotides) under uncultured bacterium. RNAcentral describes it as "partial 16S ribosomal RNA". It matches the Rfam family "Bacterial small subunit ribosomal RNA", at positions 524 to 776 of the family's 1533-position model. The record is from RNAcentral.
GACGGAAGGUGCAAGCGUUGCUCGGAAUCACUGGGCGUAAAGGGUGCGUAGGCGGCCGUGCAAGUCUGGCGUGAAAGCCCCGGGCUCAGCCCGGGAAGUGCGCUCGAAACUGCGCGGCUCGAGUGCCGGAGGGGAGAGUGGAAUUCCUGGUGUAGCGGUGAAAUGCGCAGAUAUCAGGAGGAACACCGGUGGCGAAGGCGGGUCUCUGGGCAGUAACUGACGCUGAGGAGCGAAAGCGUGGGGAGCGAACAGG